GGGCUGGGGCUCAGUGGUAGAGCGCUCGCCUAGCACGUGUGAGGCUUUGGGUUCAAUCCUCAGCAGCACA
This 70-nucleotide transfer RNA is filed under the name Marmota monax (woodchuck). RNAcentral's name for it is "tRNA.Ala". It matches the Rfam family "tRNA". Rfam says of the family: Transfer RNA (tRNA) molecules are approximately 80 nucleotides in length. Lineage: Eukaryota; Metazoa; Chordata; Mammalia; Rodentia; Sciuridae. The record is from RNAcentral.